Molecule: long non-coding RNA, 554 nt
Organism: Cydia fagiglandana
Lineage: Eukaryota; Metazoa; Arthropoda; Insecta; Lepidoptera; Tortricidae
Exons: 2
Source: RefSeq, a predicted model, not a curated record
UUAAAACCCUUAAAAAUUGGAAUGUUCAGAUUAUAAAUAUUAAUUGGAAAACAUAAGACUUUGACAACUUUUUCGGUUAUAAUAUUAGAAACAAAUUAGAUAGAUUACAUACAGUCGAUCUUAAAUAUGAACAUAAUAAAAUUAUCAAAAACACAAAACUCGCUGGUUCACACGAAAAACAAGGGAUAGUGAAAAACGCAUUGUCGUUGAACAUAAUUUUACGAAGACUCUCCGUAAAGGUUAUAAACAAAACACUCAGCUAUAUUCGACAACCAUCAACUAACACAGAUUCUACAUAUUUCCCGAAACCAAACAACACAUGUUUCGGAAACGAGCAUCAGAAUGGAAACCUAACAACGAGGUAAAAUGGCGGCAGGGCCGACAGUGACUAGAGAAAAGAAGUAUCUCGAAGACUCCGUGAAAAGAAAUUAAACCACGAAACUUAUCCAACGCAGCUCGUGAAACUAAGAAGUAACUUAGUAGCUAACCUAACCUGAAGUUGACUAGCUUCGAGUAAGCAAAAAUACAAAUAAAUAUUAUCUCCUACAGAAUUU